AUAACUGUUAGGUGAGGUGGUGAGCCAGUCGGUGAGACCGCACCACCCAUUAAAAAUUACUAAUCACGAAGAUUUUCAUAUCUCUACCUAGGGAGUGUAGGGAUCUAAAAAAAUUAUGGGAGCCUAAUUUAUUUAAAAAUAAAAUCUCUAAAUAAAUUGGUUAAGCCUGAUUAUAAAAUCUAACUAGAAACUUUUGACUCUCUACAGGAAACAUGUCUGCAUCCAACCCCC
This 231-nucleotide long non-coding RNA is filed under the name Elaeis guineensis (African oil palm). RNAcentral's name for it is "long non-coding RNA (EGUI_LNC043946)". The record is from RNAcentral. Lineage: Eukaryota; Viridiplantae; Streptophyta; Magnoliopsida; Arecales; Arecaceae.